AACGUAGGAGACGAACGUUAUCCGGAGUUACUGGGCGUAAAGGGCGUGUAGGCGGUUUGUUAAGUCUGGCGUGAAAGCUCUCGGCUAAACCGGGAGAGGUCGUUGGAUACUGGCGAACUGGAGGAUGGUAGAGGCGAGUGGAAUUCCCGGUGUAGCGGUGAAAUGCGCAGAUAUCGGGAGGAACACCAGUAGCGAAGGCGGCUCGCUGGGCCAUUCCUGACGCUGAGACGCGAAAGCUAGGGGAGCGAACAGG
This 253-nucleotide ribosomal RNA is filed under the name uncultured bacterium. Its description in RNAcentral is "partial 16S ribosomal RNA". It matches the Rfam family "Bacterial small subunit ribosomal RNA", at positions 524 to 776 of the family's 1533-position model. The record is from RNAcentral.